This 253-nucleotide ribosomal RNA is filed under the name uncultured bacterium. RNAcentral's name for it is "partial 16S ribosomal RNA". It matches the Rfam family "Bacterial small subunit ribosomal RNA", at positions 524 to 776 of the family's 1533-position model. The record is from RNAcentral.
UACGAAGGGGGCUAGCGUUGUUCGGAUUUACUGGGCGUAAAGCGCACGUAGGCGGAUCGAUCAGUCAGGGGUGAAAUCCCAGAGCUCAACUCUGGAACUGCCUUUGAUACUGUCGAUCUGGAGUAUGGAAGAGGUGAGUGGAAUUCCGAGUGUAGAGGUGAAAUUCGUAGAUAUUCGCAAGAACACCAGUGGCGAAGGCGGCUCACUGGCCCGAUACUGACGCUGAGGUGCGAAAGCGUGGGGAGCAAACAGG